AUGAAAGCUGACUGAAAGCAACUAAGCAGAUGAAGAUCUUUGCUACUGAAAACUACAAGGCCAAUAGUAUUUUUCUGAUGUCAUUCAAGAGUCAGAUCUUUGGAUACCAAAUAUCAUCUGUAACACAUAUAAACAAACCUAUACUUUACACGGAGCCUUGCUUUUCUGGAGGGCUCAUCCUCUUAUGAUGGUCCCUUGGGAGGAAGGACUAUCCUGGGUUUUGACGUCAUACUUUAUGGGUCUGACAGCUGGGAACAUCAGGCCCCACCCACCACUCUCCUUUCAUUGGCUGCGCUGUUGUCAAGCGCAUUUAAUAAGAAAACAAGUUGCUGCUCAGCCAAUCAGGACAGAGCUAGAUUUCCCCUGACAUGCCACAGCGUCUUAUCUACUGGUGACAUCACCCAUGGCCCUUUAAACGGUAGACCGCAGACAAGUUUAAAUGGCUUUAUGAAACACAGAGUACACCUAGAACAAAAAAAAAAAAAAGGUUUCAGAUCUGCCUGUUUGUGGAAGUUUGGUUGACAGUUGGCCUACUUACAGGCUCUUUAAAAAGUUUGUGACAGUGAAAACCUUAUGGCACAUUAGCCACAAUGCAUUCUGUGUUCCACAUGUUUUUUUCAACCUAUAGGCUACAACUCUCAAAAUAGUUUUGCAGUUGUUGUUUUUGAUCAUUAAAGAUACUUAUUGGGAUUGAAGGGGACGCACAGUUGGAGGGCACGUAAAAGUCGACUAUGAAUAUAUUAGGAAAAAGUGAGAGAAGGAUUUUCAUCUUCUAUAAAAGCAGCUAUGCAAAAAUAAUAUUAAAAGAUAUUACAUGUCUGGUAUGCGGUAGGAGUUCUGCCCUCCAUGAGGCUACAUUUAUUUUUUCAGUUGAAUAUGAAAUGUUAUCCUGUAUGUACCACACCAAUCUGUAUGUGUAUUUCCUUAUAAGUAUACUCAGGAGUCAAUUUAGACAAUUUCCUGUGUUUAUUUUAAUUGUUGAAAAGUGGUCAUGCAAUCCCCCGUCAUUCCUGUCUGAAAGUGAGGCCAAACUAUUUGUAGCCUUUGUAUCAGUUCAUGAUUUUGGGCUCUUUUUCUACAUUUGUGUUAAGUCAAAAAUACUAACAAAUAAAUUACACAGAAACUUUUUUUAUUUUUCAUCAUAAAAAUGUAAAUGAAUGGGAUAAGCUUAACUGGCAACCAUCUUCUCCAUGCUAACAAUCCAAAUGAUUGACUAUAACUUGGCAGCCUCUGUGUAGUUUAUCAGGAACCAUGAAGGCCAGUUACUGUAUGUACUUUGUCAAGGAGAGUCAGAAGUCACAAAAAUCCAACAUUCAGGUAUUCUGAUAAAUAUGCAAUGCUAAAAAUUUGGGGGAAAUAUACAAUCUCAAAACAGAAAUAAAGGGCUGCAAUUUAAGUUAUGAGGGGACAGAGCUAACCCCUUGAGCCACUGAGGAUAAUUAUUAAAAUCCCUGUGAUUAAGUACUAUAAACAGAUCAUGCCAUGAUGCAAAACAUUGGCAGCCUCUGUCUCAUACCAUUGGAUCAACAUUUCCUAUAAACUGAGGUGGCGAGGUGGAAUCCAGGUGAGGGGGAAGACAGUAAUAACACUGCGACA
Eleginops maclovinus (Patagonian blennie) is the source of this 1596-nucleotide long non-coding RNA. RefSeq lists it as uncharacterized. NCBI's taxonomy places the organism in Eukaryota, Metazoa, Chordata, Actinopteri, Perciformes, Eleginopidae. The record is from RefSeq and is a predicted model, not a curated record. The transcript is spliced from 3 exons.